CCUACGGGGGGCAGCAGUGGGGAAUAUUGCACAAUGGGGGAAACCCUGAUGCAGCGACGCCGCGUGAGUGAAGAAGUAUUUCGGUACGUAAAGCUCUAUCAGCAGGGAAGAAAAGGACGGUACCUGACUAAGAAGACCCGGCUAACGACGUGCCAGCAGCCGCGGUAAUACGUAGGGGGCAAGCGUUAUCCGGAUUUACUGGGUGUAAAGGGAGCGUAGACGGCAGCGCAAGUCUGGAGUGAAAUCCCAUGGCUUAACCCUGGAACUGCUUUGGAAACUGUGCAGCUAGAGUGCAGGAGAGGUAAGCGGACUUCCUAGUGUAGCGGUGCAAUGCGUAGAUAUUAGGAGGCACACCAGUGGCGCCGGCGGCUUACUGGACUGUACCUGACGUUGCGGCUCGAAAGCGUGGGGAGCCAACAGGAUUAGCUACCCGAGUAGUC
RNAcentral lists this ribosomal RNA (440 nucleotides) under uncultured bacterium. Its description in RNAcentral is "partial 16S ribosomal RNA". It matches the Rfam family "Bacterial small subunit ribosomal RNA", at positions 338 to 795 of the family's 1533-position model. The record is from RNAcentral.